This 468-nucleotide ribosomal RNA is filed under the name uncultured bacterium. RNAcentral's name for it is "partial 16S ribosomal RNA". It matches the Rfam family "Bacterial small subunit ribosomal RNA", at positions 28 to 507 of the family's 1533-position model. The record is from RNAcentral.
GACGAACGCUGGCGGCGUGCUUAACACAUGCAAGUCGAACGGACAGGCCCUGCUUUUGUGGGGUGCUCGAGUGGCGAACGGGUGAGUAUCACGUGUGUAACCUGCCCUUGACUUUGGGAUAACUUCAGGAAACUGGGGCUCAUACCGGAUAGGAGCUCUUGAUGCAUGGUGGGGGUUGGAAAGUUUCGGCGGUUGGGGCUGGACUCGCGGCUUAUCAGCUUGUUGGUGGGGUAGUGGCUUACCAAGGCUAUGACGGGUAGCCGGCAUGAGAGGGUGACCGGGGACAAUGGUACUGAGGGAGGGCCCAGACUCCUACCGGCGGCAGCAGUGGGGAAUAUUGCACAAUGGGCGGGAGCCUGAGGCAGCGACGCCGCGUGCGGGAUGACGGCCUUCGGGGUGUAAACCGCUUUCGCCUGUGACGAAGCGUGAGUGACGGUAAUGGGUAAAGAAGCACCGGCUAACUACGUG